UUUAUCGGAGAGUUUGAUCCUGGCUCAGGACGAACGCUGGCGGCGUGCCUAAUACAUGCAAGUCGAGCGGACAGAUGGGAGCUUGCUCCCUGAUGUUAGCGGCGGACGGGUGAGUAACACGUGGGUAACCUGCCUGUAAGACUGGGAUAACUCCGGGAAACCGGGGCUAAUACCGGAUGGUUGUUUGAACCGCAUGGUUCAGACAUAAAAGGUGGCUUCGGCUACCACUUACAGAUGGACCCGCGGCGCAUUAGCUAGUUGGUGAGGUAACGGCUCACCAAGGCGACGAUGCGUAGCCGACCUGAGAGGGUGAUCGGCCACACUGGGACUGAGACACGGCCCAGACUCCUACGGGAGGCAGCAGUAGGGAAUCUUCCGCAAUGGACGAAAGUCUGACGGAGCAACGCCGCGUGAGUGAUGAAGGUUUUCGGAUCGUAAAGCUCUGUUGUUAGGGAAGAACAAGUGCCGUUCAAAUAGGGCGGCACCUUGACGGUACCUAACCAGAAAGCCACGGCUAACUACGUGCCAGCAGCCGCGGUAAUACGUAGGUGGCAAGCGUUGUCCGGAAUUAUUGGGCGUAAAGGGCUCGCAGGCGGUUUCUUAAGUCUGAUGUGAAAGCCCCCGGCUCAACCGGGGAGGGUCAUUGGAAACUGGGGAACUUGAGUGCAGAAGAGGAGAGUGGAAUUCCACGUGUAGCGGUGAAAUGCGUAGAGAUGUGGAGGAACACCAGUGGCGAAGGCGACUCUCUGGUCUGUAACUGACGCUGAGGAGCGAAAGCGUGGGGAGCGAACAGGAUUAGAUACCCUGGUAGUCCACGCCGUAAACGAUGAGUGCUAAGUGUUAGGGGGUUUCCGCCCCUUAGUGCUGCAGCUAACGCAUUAAGCACUCCGCCUGGGGAGUACGGUCGCAAGACUGAAACUCAAAGGAAUUGACGGGGGCCCGCACAAGCGGUGGAGCAUGUGGUUUAAUUCGAAGCAACGCGAAGAACCUUACCAGGUCUUGACAUCCUCUGACAAUCCUAGAGAUAGGACGUCCCCUUCGGGGGCAGAGUGACAGGUGGUGCAUGGUUGUCGUCAGCUCGUGUCGUGAGAUGUUGGGUUAAGUCCCGCAACGAGCGCAACCCUUGAUCUUAGUUGCCAGCAUUCAGUUGGGCACUCUAAGGUGACUGCCGGUGACAAACCGGAGAAGGUGGGGAUGACGUCAAAUCAUCAUGCCCCUUAUGACCUGGGCUACACACGUGCUACAAUGGACAGAACAAAGGGGCAGCAAAACCGCGAGGUUAAGCCAAUCCCCAAAUCUGUUCUCAGUUCGGAUCGCAGUCUGCAACUCGACGCGUGAGAGCUGGAAUCGCUAGUAAUCGCGGAUCAAGCAUGCCGCGGUGAAUACGUUCCCGGGCCUUGUACACACCGCCCGUCCACCACGAGAGUUUGUAACACCCGAAGUCGGUGAGGUAACCUUUUAGGAGCCAGCCGCCGAAGGUGGGACAGAUAUUGGGGUGAAGUCGUAACAAGGUAGCCGUAUCGGAGAGUGCGGCUGGAUCACCUCCUUUCUAA
This 1553-nucleotide ribosomal RNA is filed under the name Bacillus velezensis. RNAcentral's name for it is "bacterial SSU rRNA". It matches the Rfam family "Bacterial small subunit ribosomal RNA". The record is from RNAcentral. Lineage: Bacteria; Bacillati; Bacillota; Bacilli; Caryophanales; Bacillaceae.